RNAcentral lists this ribosomal RNA (315 nucleotides) under Triticum aestivum (bread wheat). Its description in RNAcentral is "partial small subunit ribosomal RNA". The record is from RNAcentral. Lineage: Eukaryota; Viridiplantae; Streptophyta; Magnoliopsida; Poales; Poaceae.
AUGAAGUAUCUACUACCGUUGACUAUCCCGGAUUCCUCAUGCGGGCUACUUGUAGUAAACCGUAUGAGAAGGAGGGUUCUCGUACUGGAUCCAUCACGAGACGUCGGGCAAGUUGGAGAGAGCACUCAUAACAAAGAGAUGAUGAAGGAAAUCACAUUGUUGAAGCAAGAGUUCAAUGAUGUGUUGCAGGCUAGGAUCCCAGGUUGGAAUACCCCACUAAUGGAUUGGCGACAAGAUUGCAUGUCUUUUAAUGCUCGCCGACUCUGGUUUCUUUGUCCUACAGGAGAUGGCCCACCAGAUUGGUUGUUGGCGUAG